UACGGGGGGGGCAAGCGUUGUUCGGAAUUACUGGGCGUAAAGGGCUCGUAGGCGGCCAACUAAGUCAGACGUGAAAUCCCUCGGCUUAACCGGGGAACUGCGUCUGAUACUGGAUGGCUAGAGGUUGGGAGAGGGAUGCGGAAUUCCAGGUGUAGCGGUGAAAUGCGUAGAUAUCUGGAGGAACACCGGUGGCGAAGGCGGCAUCCUGGACCAAUUCUGGCGCUGAGGAGCGAAAGCCAGGGGAGCAAACGGG
Molecule: ribosomal RNA, 253 nt
Filed under: uncultured bacterium
Lineage: Bacteria
Description: partial 16S ribosomal RNA
Rfam family: Bacterial small subunit ribosomal RNA
Source: RNAcentral